Molecule: ribosomal RNA, 253 nt
Filed under: uncultured bacterium
Lineage: Bacteria
Description: partial 16S ribosomal RNA
Rfam family: Bacterial small subunit ribosomal RNA
Source: RNAcentral
UACGAAGGGGGCUAGCGUUGCUCGGAAUCACUGGGCGUAAAGCGCACGUAGGCGGUCUUUUAAGUCAGGGGUGAAAUCCUGGAGCUCAACUCCAGAACUGCCUUUGAUACUGAGAGACUUGAGUCCGGGAGAGGUGAGUGGAACUGCGAGUGUAGAGGUGAAAUUCGUAGAUAUUCGCAAGAACACCAGUGGCGAAGGCGGCUCACUGGCCCGGUACUGACGCUGAGGUGCGAAAGCGUGGGGAGCGAGCAGG